Non-coding RNA from Pelobates cultripes (western spadefoot toad), 280 nucleotides. The record is from the annotation of a GenBank genome assembly. NCBI's taxonomy places the organism in Eukaryota, Metazoa, Chordata, Amphibia, Anura, Pelobatidae.
GUCUAGACCAGGCUUCCCCAAACUCCAGCCCUCCAGAUGUUGCUGAACUACAACUCCCAUGAUUCUAUAAAUGAAAUAGGCUGAGAAUCAUGGGAGUUGUAGUUCAGCAACAUCUGGAGGGCCGGAGUUUGGUGAAACCUGGUCUAGACAGACAGUCUGCAAGCAGUUGGCUUAGCCAAACUGACGAUAACAGGGUUAUUUACUAAACUGAGAAUUGUGGGGGACUCAAAGUGAAUUUCAAAUUGAAGGCCACUGUCAGAACUUACCGCUACUCCAAUUC